CAUUGUGCUGGUGCGGUGAUGUUCCUGUUUCAGGGAUAUUUUGGUUGUAUUCUACAUACUGGCGAUUUUCGUUAUUUUGAUGGUAUGCUAGAUAUACCUCUGUUUACGAAUGGCAUUGUUAUCAAUACGCUGUACCUAGACAACACAUAUUGUGACCCAAAAUGUGAAUUUCCUACAAGGGCUGAAGCAAAAGAAAAAAUAUUGGAGAUUAUACAUAACAAUCCUGAAAAGGAUAUAAGGUUUGGCGUGGAUAUGCUUGGAAAGGAGGACAUGCUCUGUGACAUUGCCAAAGACCAAGGUUUCCCGAUUUUUGUGGAUGAAUUUCGUUAUAAGACUGCGGAGUUACUUGGCUAUGGCGAAUAUUUUACUUUAAAUCAGGAAGAGACAUACAUUAGAGCGGAGAAAAAAAGUUGUGUUAACAGAUGCUCAUUGGCAUUUUUGAACAACGGUAUUUGUCCAACAAUAGGUAUCAUACCAAGCGCUUUAUACCAAGGCAGAGAUAACCCAUUUGUAAAAUCUGACACAAUCUUUGUUGUGCCAUAUUCUGAUCAUUCCUCAUUCUCUGAGCUGAAAAAAUUUGUUGCCAAAUUGAAACCACAGCGUAUUAUUCCAAUUGUUUCUAAGAAGAAUAAGGACGAAGACUCGCACGACCGAGCAGACAUGACGAUUUUUGCAGAAGAAAUGUCAAGUGAUGCAGGACAACAUGUGUUCGAUGUACCUUCGACAGUACAAGCAUUCAUAUCGAGAGAUUUUAGUGGAAAUUUAAAUUGCAGCGGCAAGAAACGAAAGGCGUCAACUAGCUACUUUAAUGGUAGAUCAAAACGAGCAUGUGGUAUUGUUUUCUCACCUGGAAAGCAAGGAGAAGUGCACAAAGACGAAGAUCAAAUGCCCAUCGAUCCAAAUAUUACUAACAGAUCUGAAACAGACGUGAAGGAAAAUGAGAAAGGUGAGAAUAAAAGAGAAUUAUUGAUUGAUGUUGAGUAUACUUUUGUGCGAAUAUGAUGUUUGCGAUGUUACUCUGAGUGUGCAUCCACACCGGGCAAGCUGUGGUCAGGCAAACGUUUCAGCUUGCCCGGUGUAGAUGCGCACUCAGAGUAAGAUCACAAACAUCAUAUUCACCUGAGUACAUAACACCAAGUCCAACAUAUGCAAAAAGUAUCAUAUCUUAGAACACAUUGAUAUCGAAGGAACUAGACUCAGUUCCGAAAUAUCACCACUCGAACCGACUUGACCUCGUAGCUCAGUUGGUAGUCUAGAUCAUUGAACUAGUAUCCCAAAGGUCGCGGGUUCGAUUACCACCAUGGUCAGGCAAACUUUUCAGCUUGCUCGGUGUGGAUGCAUACUCAGAUGUUGAGUAUGUCAUAUUAUUAUUAUUAUUAUUAUUAUUAUUAUUAUUAUUAUUAUAAUAUGAAUAAUAAUAAUAAUAAUAAUAAUAAUAAUAAUAAUAUUAUAAUAUUAUUAUUAUAAUAUGAUUAUUAUUACAAGGAAUGGAUGAAUCCGGAACUGUUAAGUGUUUAAACGUUGUACUGUCAUUUUGUUAUCUUAAUAGUAUAAUUUUUGCAUAUAUAAUCAGUGAUUUAAGUAGCCAGUUGUAAAUUACCUGAUAUAAAUGAGAUUUGCAAUUGUAUAUAUAAGCUAACUAUCCAUUUAAUAAAGUUUUCAUUAUUAUUAUUAUUAUUAUUAUUAUUAUUAUUAUUAUUAUUAUUAUUAUUAUUAUUAUAUGUCGUCAUGAUGUCACUGUUGAGUUCAUAUGAUGAUUGCCAAUCCAGAAUUGGACCUAUUCCCUAAUGAACAAAAUUUCGAUCUAGACAAGUCCAGACAAAAAUGUCAUCACAGCUUGAAAGAGCAUCACAAAAUUAGUAAUAUUCCGAAGUUUCGUUGCGAAAUGUUGUAAAAUGCGGAUAAUAUAGCCCUGCGAAGUUUGCCGUUUUUCAGUCAUUUUGUAUUACGCGCGGGAAAUUGAUACCUUUUUUCAGAAAGCGGUAUCAAUUUGUGAUAUAUGCUUUCAGUUCACCAGAUUAACCCAAAUCUGGCCUUAGUUGAUAAUGUUCGACAUCUUUCUCAUCCAAAAAUUGUCAAACACCAACUUACUCCCCUUUUCUGUUUAUAGGCACUGAGGUAACAUUCCGUGAUACAAGUGCGGUAGUGAAUGCGAAUAUACCUAGCGAACGUGGGGACAAAACCGGUCAAGAAGAAACGUCUUCACCAACAGAAGAAGCAAGCAUCAAGGUCAUCGUAAAGCAGGAGACGGAGGAGACAUCAAAGGAAAAUCGUGGCAAAAACAGUCAAGAAAGAGCAGCGCCGCCCAACCAAGAUAAGACCAAUGCCAAGGGUGACAAUCAAGGCGAACAGGCACAAGAAACAGCUUCACCAACAGAAGAAGCAAGCAUCAAGGUCAGGGUAAAGGAGGAGACGGAGGAGACAUCAAAGGAAAAUCGUGGCAAAAACAGUCAAGAAAGAGCAGCGCCGCCCAACCAAGAUAAGACCAAUGCCAAGGGUGACAGUCAAGGCGAUCUGGCACAGCAGUCUUCUGAAGAAUCACCUGCAGUAAUGGCUGACACAACUUUGACAGGCGCUGUGCAGAGUAGUUCAGGGGAGACUGCUAAGCAAAAUCAUGGCAAAGACAGUCACGAAAGGACAGCGCCGCCCAGUCGAGAUAAGACCAAUGUGAAGGACGACAAUCAAGGCGAUCAGACACAGCAGUCUUUUGUAAAAUUACUAGAAAUGGCUGACACAACUUUGCCAGGGGCUGCACAGAGUAGUUCAGGUGAGACUGCUAAUCAAAGUUGUGGCAAAAACAGUCAAGAAAGAGCAGCGCCGUCCAACCAAGAUAAGAUUAAUGCCAAGGACGACAAUCAAGGCGAUCAGACACAGCAAUCUUCUGGAAAAUCACCAGUAAUGACUGACACAACUUUGCCAGGGACUGCACAGAGUAGUUCAGUUGAGACUACUAAGCAACAUUGUGGCAAAAACAGUCAAGAAAGAGCAGCGCCGUCCAACCAAGAUAAGACCAAUGCCAAGGACGAUAAUCAAGGCGAUCAGACACAGCAAUCGUCUGAAAAAUCACUUGUAAUGGCUGACACAACUUUGCCAGGGGCUGCACAGAGUAGUUCAGGGGAGACUGCUAAGGAAAAUCGUGGCGAGAACAGUCGAGAAAAGACAGCACCGCCCACCCAAGAUAAGACCAAUGCCAAGGACGAUAAUCAAGGCGAUCAGACAGAGCAGUCUUCUGAAAAAUCACCGGUAUUGCCAGACACUGCAGAGAGUAGUUCAGAGGAGACAUCUAAGGAAAAUUGUGGCGAGAGCAGUCAAGAAAGAGCAGCGCCGCCCAUCGAACAAGCAGGGACCGGUGUCAAGGAAGACAUUCAAGACGAUCAGACACAUACGUCUAUUGACAAAUUCAUUGCAGCGGUUGAGACAACUUUGCCAGGCGCUUCACAGAGUAUUUCAGAGGAAAAGCCAACGAAAGAUCGUAACGAAUGCAGUCAGGAAACAGCAGCGCUGGCCGUUGAACAGACAAGGACGACAGUCAACGACGACAAUCAAGACGAUCAGACACACAAGUGUGUUGACAAAUCAGCUGUAGUGUUCAAAGCAACUUUACCUGGCACAGUACAAAGUAGUUCAGAUAAAAAGUCUAAUCAAGAUCUUAAAGGCUUUGCAGAAAGAGCACUGGACACAAUAUUGUCUUCUUUUUGGCCGAGGAAAAGCAAUCCAACAGAAGACAAUGAGGAUGAAUCUUUGCCUAACUUGAAAACUACGGAUGAGUGUGUGAGACAGGAGCAAACGCAACCUGAUGGUUUUCAAAGUGAAUUACAAGUGGAGGGAGAAAGAGAAGAAGCUAUACCACGUGUAACAGAUGAUCAGCGUAUUGUGGAAAGUUGUCCUACUGUUUCUACAGAAUCAAUCCAAAUCCAGAAAACACCAAACUCAGCAGCGCUAACUGACUCAGCAUCUAAUGGUAAUCAAAACACUAGCGAUGAGAAGAUUCUAGGACCGAUAGUUUCACUACAGGGUAGCGAAGAAUUACAAUCGAGUAAACAAAAAGGCAUUCCAGUUCUAACAGAAAUGCAAGGAAACAAAGAAUCGCCGAAUUGUGCUUCCACUGUCACCUGCAUAAAAGAAAUUCCGCCAACUACAAAAAUAGCGAAGGCCAAAAUCCAAGAGGACAAUCAUGGCAUUGAGAUACGAAUGCCUUCUCACAAAUCAGUUACAGUGGUCGAGCCAGAUGGUAUAACUGCUUUGCCUGAAGCACAGGGCACGUCAAGCGCGAACUCUAAAGAAGUAACCAGAACUGUUGGGCAAGAAGCCAGUGCACAGAUUUCGGAUGAUGAGCGAGCUAAAGAAGAUAUAGGUGACUGCGAGAAAACUGCUUUAACAAAAAGACAAGAAGAGCAGGAUAAGAAAAUUGUAGAAAACAAGGAAGGCAAAAACUCUUCCCGUAAUGACAUGCCAAAACCAGUGACAAUAUGCACAAAUGACGAAGGGAUAUUACAUGGAAGUACGGAGGGACUUCUUUCUGUUUCUUUGGAACCAACAGACAAACAGAAAUCACCUAAUUUAGUACCACAAACUGAGUCGGCAUCUUCUAAAGACGUUGAAACAUCUUGCAUUGAGAAGGAUCUGGAGACAGUUAAACUUUCACAAAAUAAUGACGAUAAUAUAAGGUUAAGUAAAACCGAAAAGCUUCCAAUUCCCAAACAAUCAAGUACCAGUAAUGGACCUCUGACUUCUAGUCAUUUGGAAUUAAAUACACACGAACCGCCUCCAAUACUAACAGAAUUACCAGAAAACUACGGAUUUCCUACUCUCGGUCAAAGCGAUUUACAACUGAAAAGGCACGAACAGUCUGCAAUGCCAUCGGAAUUACUAGAAAGCCAAGGAUCUCCUGAGAUUGUUUCCAGUCAAAGUGAAUCGUGCAUAUCCAGUGGAAAAAUGUCUAUUGAAAUGCACGAAGAAGGAACAGAAGAACGUGUAUUACCCAGCAAACGUGUACUCGACGAAACAUCUCAGCAG
This is a non-coding RNA of Paramuricea clavata, 5016 nucleotides long. The record is from the annotation of a GenBank genome assembly. Lineage: Eukaryota; Metazoa; Cnidaria; Anthozoa; Malacalcyonacea; Plexauridae.